This 992-nucleotide long non-coding RNA is filed under the name Carica papaya (papaya). RNAcentral's name for it is "long non-coding RNA (CPAP_LNC014033)". Lineage: Eukaryota; Viridiplantae; Streptophyta; Magnoliopsida; Brassicales; Caricaceae. The record is from RNAcentral.
AAAUUUAAAAAAUUUUGAAAAUGAUUACAGGCCACUAAUAUAGUCGAAAUCGGUUAAUUAUUUAUUUAUCAUUUUUAACUAAUUAUUUGCUUGUACAGCUUUAAAUACAUGAUAAUAUAUUGAAAUAUUUAAAUGAUUUAGUUGUAUUUCCUUGAUAUAUAUCACUUGUUUUGCGUGAUUUACGGUUGAUUAUGAAAUGUAAAAUUUAUAUACAAAUAAAAAAUUACUUAAUGAUGUGAGUUAAUAAAUAAUUGUUUUACUAGAUAUUCUAAGAGAUGGUGGACAGAUCGGGUACAUAGGGAACCCUACCAUAAACGUCACCUCAUAUCGGACGGGGUAUCGAGAGAUGACAUUUUUGGUGCUCAUACUGGAUAAGGUAUGGGAAUAGCCCAGUUCACCUUCAUACCGGACGAGGUAUGGGGACAAUAUUUUUUGCACUCAUACCGGACGAAGUAUGGGGACGGCCAGAUAAUUGACAGGUUUAGAUAUUGGGUUCACGCAUAUGGGGACAUCUCUAUGGACCUCUAGAGAUACCAGUAAGCAGAUAAAAAGAGAAAAAAUAGUUAUUCUUACUCACUUAUAUAAGAAAUCAUAAUGUUAUUUGAGUUAUUGUCUUUAUAGAUUGAUUUUGAAAAUCUCAUAAAUAAUGAUAAGUAUGCAAUAAAUAGUUUUUUUUAGGAUAAAUGAACUUACUUAAAUUAAGAGCUCCAUUAGUCGUUUUAUAUUUUUUUAUCAACAUUUAGUUUCCGUAUCGGUGAGCAGUGUAAUAUUUUAUUAGGAUAGUGUAACUCACCCCUAUUAACUAUUUUAGAUUAAGAAUAUCAAGACCUAGAUCCUAAUCAAGAAGAGGGCUGUGAGUAUGUGUCCCCUGAAUCCUAUCAAGAGUUAGUGGAGGUUAACCUCACUACAACAUUUAUUUACUAUUUUCAUAUGUUUAUUUCGUUUUUUUUGAACCGUUAUGAAAGGGACAUUCAAAUUUAUAUGUAAGGAAU